UGGGGAAUUUUGGACAAUGGGGGAAACCCUGAUCCAGCCAUUCCGCGUGAGUGAAGAAGGCCUUCGGGUUGUAAAGCUCUUUCGGCAGGAACGAAACGGUUACGGUUAAUACCCGUGACAACUGACGGUACCUGAAGAAGAAGCACCGGCUAACUACGUGCCAGCAGCCGCGGUAAUACGUAGGGUGCGAGCGUUAAUCGGAAUUACUGGGCGUAAAGCGUGCGCAGGCGGUUAUGCAAGCCAGACGUGAAAGCCCCGGGCUUAACCUGGGAAUGGCGUUUGGGACUGCAUGGCUAGAGUACGUCAGAGGGGGGUGGAAUUCCACGUGUAGCAGUGAAAUGCGUAGAGAUGUGGAGGAACACCGAUGGCGAAGGCAGCCCCCUGGGAUGAUACUGACGCUCAGGCACGAAAGCGUGGGGAGCAAACAG
Molecule: ribosomal RNA, 428 nt
Filed under: uncultured bacterium
Lineage: Bacteria
Description: bacterial SSU rRNA
Rfam family: Bacterial small subunit ribosomal RNA
Source: RNAcentral